Molecule: transfer RNA, 76 nt
Filed under: Candidatus Methanomethylophilaceae archaeon
Lineage: Archaea; Methanobacteriati; Thermoplasmatota; Thermoplasmata; Methanomassiliicoccales; Methanomethylophilaceae
Description: tRNA-Val
Rfam family: tRNA
About the family: Transfer RNA (tRNA) molecules are approximately 80 nucleotides in length.
Source: RNAcentral
GGACUCGUGGUCUAGUGGUUAUGACGUCGCCCUUACAAGGCGAAGGUCGCUGGUUCGAUCCCGGCCGGGUCCACCA